RNAcentral lists this ribosomal RNA (274 nucleotides) under uncultured bacterium. RNAcentral describes it as "partial 16S ribosomal RNA". It matches the Rfam family "Bacterial small subunit ribosomal RNA", at positions 523 to 796 of the family's 1533-position model. The record is from RNAcentral.
AUACGGAGGGUGCAAGCGUUAAUCGGAAUUACUGGGCGUAAAGCGCGCGUAGGCGGUUUGAUAAGUCGGAUGUGAAAUCCCCGGGCUCAACCUGGGAAUUGUAUUCGAUACUGUCAGGCUAGAGUGUGGUAGAGGGAAGUGGAAUUUCCGGUGUAGCGGUGAAAUGCGUAGAUAUCGGAAGGAACACCAGUGGCGAAGGCGGCUUCCUGGACCAACACUGACGCUGAGGUGCGAAAGCGUGGGGAGCAAACAGGAUUAGAAACCCUUGUAGUCC